UGUAUCUGAAGCCUGACGAGGAUGAGAACCUCUGGGGGUAAGAGGUUCGACUCGAGCGAAGCGAGAGAACGUUGCGCCAGCAACGGCCCGCAGGGCGAGCCACGCAGUGGCGAGUCAUCCUCUAUCACCGGCAG
This 134-nucleotide small RNA is filed under the name Salmonella enterica. Its description in RNAcentral is "RtT sRNA". It matches the Rfam family "RtT RNA". Rfam says of the family: This family represents a bacterial cis-regulatory element known as RtT RNA. The exact function of RtT is unknown although it is thought that it may be involved in changing the cellular response in relation to amino acid starvation. The record is from RNAcentral. RNAcentral also lists the same sequence under 1 other name. Lineage: Bacteria; Pseudomonadati; Pseudomonadota; Gammaproteobacteria; Enterobacterales; Enterobacteriaceae.